This 493-nucleotide ribosomal RNA is filed under the name uncultured Eubacteriales bacterium. RNAcentral describes it as "uncultured Clostridiales bacterium partial 16S ribosomal RNA". The record is from RNAcentral. Lineage: Bacteria; Bacillati; Bacillota; Clostridia; Eubacteriales.
CACGUAGUUAGCCGGAGCUUAUUCUACAGGUACUGUCUUGUUUCUUCCCUGUCUAAAGCAGUUUACAAUCCGAAAACCUUCUUCCUGCACGCGGCGUCACUGCAUCAGAGUUCCCUCCAUUGUGCAAUAUUCCCGACUGCUGCCUCCCGUAGGAGUCUGGGCCGUAUCUCAGUCCCAAUGUGGCCGUUCAACCUCUCAGUUCGGCUACUGAUCGUCGACUUGGUAGGCCUUUACCCCACCAACUAUCUAAUCAGACGCAAGCCCAUCUGUUAGCGGAUUUCUCCUUUCCCAUAAGUACCAUGUGGUACUUAUGGCAUAUGCGGUAUUAGCAAUGAUUUCUCACUGUUAUUCCCCUCUAACAGGCAGGUUGCUUACGUGUUACUCACCAGUCCGCCACUAACCGCUUCCAAAUGUAAACAUUCGAAUUAAGUUCGUUCGACUUGCAUGUCUUAUGUGCGCCGCCAGCGUUACUCUCUGCACGAGUACUACUAAC